This 29-nucleotide non-coding RNA is filed under the name Homo sapiens (human). The record is from RNAcentral. Lineage: Eukaryota; Metazoa; Chordata; Mammalia; Primates; Hominidae.
UCGGAAGGUGUCUUGAGAUUAUCAUCCGC